RNAcentral lists this transfer RNA (90 nucleotides) under Streptomyces hydrogenans. RNAcentral's name for it is "tRNA-Arg". The record is from RNAcentral. Lineage: Bacteria; Bacillati; Actinomycetota; Actinomycetes; Kitasatosporales; Streptomycetaceae.
CCGGUCGGGGUGACGGCGAGGCCGAUCGCCGGUUCCGGGCCGGCCACGAUCCCCACCCUCGGCCGCCGUUCCGGCUUGGCGCGGUCGGUC